GACGAACGCUGGCGGCGUGCUUAACACAUGCAAGUCGAACGGAAAGGCCCUGCUUUUGUGGGGUGCUCGAGUGGCGAACGGGUGAGUAACACGUGAGUAACCUUCCCUUGACUUUGGGAUAACUUCAGGAAACUGGGGCUAAUACCGGAUAGGAGCUCCUGCUGCAUGGUGGGGGUUGGAAAGUUUCGGCGGUUGGGGAUGGACUCGCGGCUUAUCAGCUUGUUGGUGGGGUAGUGGCUUACCAAGGCUUUGACGGGUAGCCGGCUUGAGAGGGUGACCGGCCACAUUGGGACUGAGAUACGGCCCAGACUCCUACGGGAGGCAGCAGUGGGGAAUAUUGAAAAAUGGGCGGAAGCCUGAUGCAGCAACGCCGCGUGCGGGAUGACGGCCUUCGGGUUGUAAACCGCUUUCGCCUGUGACGAAGCGUGAGUGACGGUAAUGGGUAAAGAAGCACCGGCUAACUACGUG
This 468-nucleotide ribosomal RNA is filed under the name uncultured bacterium. RNAcentral describes it as "partial 16S ribosomal RNA". It matches the Rfam family "Bacterial small subunit ribosomal RNA", at positions 28 to 507 of the family's 1533-position model. The record is from RNAcentral.